This is a long non-coding RNA of Papaver somniferum (opium poppy), 211 nucleotides long. RefSeq lists it as uncharacterized. Lineage: Eukaryota; Viridiplantae; Streptophyta; Magnoliopsida; Ranunculales; Papaveraceae. The transcript has 3 exons. The record is from RefSeq and is a predicted model, not a curated record.
GAGAUUCUCAGUCUGAUGUGCACCAAAUCAUCUAAUCUGGAUAAUGCAUAUUUAUCAGUGGCGAAACGUAUGCAGUCAUGGGAAUGCAAAAGGGAUGUCUCAGUUGCUGGAGUCAAUUUCUUGUGCAAUUUUCUAGGUGAGGCAACGACAUGGCCAAGACUCCACCGCACCUUGGAUUCUUCUACAUAUAGUAAUAGUUUAUAAUAAGCAA